AGGUAAGCUACUAAGAGCGAAUGGUGGAUGCCUUGACUGGUAAAGGCGAUGAAGGACGUACUAGACUGCGAUAAGCUACGGGGAGCUGUCAAGAAGCUUUGAUCCGUAGAUUUCCGAAUGGGGCAACCCAAUGUAUAGAGAUAUACAUUACCUAUAUAGGAGCGAACGAGGGGAAUUGAAACAUCUUAGUACCCUCAGGAAAAGAAAUCAAUAGAGAUUGCGUCAGUAGCGGCGAGCGAAAGCGCAAGAGGGCAAACCCAGUGCUUGCACUGGGGGUUGUAGGACUGCAAUGUGCAAGAGGUAAGUUUAGCAGAACAUUCUGGAAAGUAUAACCAUAGAGGGUGAUAGUCCCGUAUGCGAAAAACAAACCUUAGCUAGCAGUAUCCUGAGUAGGGCGGGACACGAGGAAUCCUGUCUGAAUCUGGGUCGACCACGAUCCAACCCUAAAUACUAAUACCAGAUCGAUAGUGCACAAGUACCGUGAGGGAAAGGUGAAAAGAACUGAGGUGAUCAGAGUGAAAUAGAACCUGAAACCAUUUGCUUACAAUCAUUCAGAGCCCUAUGUAGCAAUACAGGGUGAUGGACUGCCUUUUGCAUAAUGAGCCUGCGAGUUGUGGUGUCUGGCAAGGUUAAGCAAACGCGAAGCCGUAGCGAAAGCGAGUCUGAAUAGGGCGCUUAGUCAGAUGCUGCAGACCCGAAACGAAGUGAUCUAUCCAUGAGCAAGUUGAAGCUAGUGUAAGAACUAGUGGAGGACUGAACCCAUAGGCGUUGAAAAGCCCCGGGAUGACUUGUGGAUAGGGGUGAAAGGCCAAUCAAACUUCGUGAUAGCUGGUUCUCUCCGAAAUAUAUUUAGGUAUAGCGUUGUGUCGUAAUAUAAGGGGGUAGAGCACUGAAUGGGCUAGGGCAUACACCAAUGUACCAAACCCUAUCAAACUCCGAAUACCUUAUAUGUAAUCACAGCAGUCAGGCGGCGAGUGAUAAAAUCCGUCGUCAAGAGGGAAACAACCCAGACUACCAGCUAAGGUCCCUAAAUCUUACUUAAGUGGAAAACGAUGUGAAGUUACUUAAACAACCAGGAGGUUGGCUUAGAAGCAGCCAUCCUUUAAAGAAAGCGUAAUAGCUCACUGGUCUAGUGAUUUUGCGCGGAAAAUAUAACGGGGCUAAAGUAAGUACCGAAGCUGUAGACUUAGUUUACUAAGUGGUAGGAGAGCGUUCUAUUUGCGUCGAAGGUAUACCGGUAAGGAGUGCUGGAGCGAAUAGAAGUGAGCAUGCAGGCAUGAGUAGCGAUAAUUAAUGUGAGAAUCAUUAACGCCGUAAACCCAAGGUUUCCUACGCGAUGCUCGUCAUCGUAGGG
Molecule: ribosomal RNA, 1354 nt
Filed under: Campylobacter jejuni
Lineage: Bacteria; Pseudomonadati; Campylobacterota; Epsilonproteobacteria; Campylobacterales; Campylobacteraceae
Description: bacterial LSU rRNA
Rfam family: Bacterial large subunit ribosomal RNA
Source: RNAcentral